CCCCGCUCUGCUGAGAUUUGCAGCUGGACCAGCGUUCAGCGAGCUCUCUCCAUCCUUGCAGGAUGUAGCCGCUGCGAUGCCAGCCGCAGCAUCCCCGGGGCUGUAGACAACCGGCUCCCCCCACCCUUGCCCUGACCCUCCCCUUCCCUCCGAUCCCCUCCUGAGGGGGGCAAAUCAGGCCGAGGAAGCUCCCCCUCCUUCUCCUCCUCCUCUCGACUGGAUCCGGGCCAAGAGAGAGAGAGAGAGAGAGAGAGAGACCCGCAGUUCCACCCCACGCUUCAUCUUCUCCCCGCAGCGGAUUCCCUCACCUGCCUCCCUCCUCCCACCUCAGUCUCUCCUGGGUUCUAGCAUGGCCUGG
Podarcis lilfordi (Lilford's wall lizard) is the source of this 358-nucleotide non-coding RNA. Lineage: Eukaryota; Metazoa; Chordata; Lepidosauria; Squamata; Lacertidae. The record is from the annotation of a GenBank genome assembly.